RNAcentral lists this ribosomal RNA (609 nucleotides) under uncultured bacterium. Its description in RNAcentral is "bacterial SSU rRNA". It matches the Rfam family "Bacterial small subunit ribosomal RNA", at positions 56 to 662 of the family's 1533-position model. The record is from RNAcentral.
UGCAGUUCGACGGUAACAGGCCYUUCGGGCGCUGACGAGUGGCGGACGGGUGCGUAACGCGUAGGAAUCUGCCUGGUAGUGGGGGACAACGUGGGGAAACUCACGCUAAUACCGCAUACGCCCUGAGGGGGAAAGCGGGGGACCUUAUGGGCCUCGCGCUAUCGGAUGAGCCUGCGUGGGAUUAGCUGGUUGGUAGGGUAAAGGCCUACCAAGGCGACGAUCCCUAGCUGGUCUGAGAGGACGAUCAGCCACACUGGGACUGAGACACGGCCCAGACUCCUACGGGAGGCAGCAGUGGGGAAUAUUGGACAAUGGGGGGAACCCUGAUCCAGCAAUACCGCGUGUGUGAAGAAGGCCUGAGGGUUGUAAAGCACUUUUAAUCGGGAGGAAGAGCUGUUGGCUAAUAUCUGACAGUGUGACRUUACCGAUAGAAAAAGCACCGGCUAACUCCGUGCCAGCAGCCGCGGUAAUACGGAGGGUGCGAGCGUUAAUCGGAAUUACUGGGCGUAAAGCGUGCGUAGGCGGUUAUUUAAGUCAGAUGUGAAAGCCCUGGGCUUAACCUGGGAACGGCAUUUGAGACUGGAUAACUAGAGUUUAAGAGAGGAGAGU